ACCCUUCUACCCGGUUGAGGCAGCGGCCAGAUAAGCCGCUCACGCAGGUUCGAAUCCUGCCGGGGGCACCA
This 71-nucleotide transfer RNA is filed under the name Aerosticca soli. Its description in RNAcentral is "tRNA-Ile". The record is from RNAcentral. Lineage: Bacteria; Pseudomonadati; Pseudomonadota; Gammaproteobacteria; Lysobacterales; Rhodanobacteraceae.